Long non-coding RNA from Clupea harengus (Atlantic herring), 503 nucleotides. NCBI's taxonomy places the organism in Eukaryota, Metazoa, Chordata, Actinopteri, Clupeiformes, Clupeidae. The record is from Ensembl.
UCAUCAUGUAUAAAAGCAGGUGCAACCAGGUCACAGUCAGACAUUUUCCUCAAAUCUCACUCGAAAGCAUCAACACCCCAAAGAGAAGCCAUGAAGCCAGUGAUCGUGCUGUACGUUGCGCUGAUGAUGAUUGCACUGGUGUGCACAACUGUUCCAGAUGCUAAUGCUGUAGACCCCGGAGCAUGUCUCGCAAGAUGUGCCACGAAAUGUCGAAGUAAUGAACAUUAUUACCGCGAGGGAUGGUGUGGUGGUGGAAAACGCUGCUGUGUUCCCCGGACACAUCUGUGAAGGAAGACUGUGUGGAUCAAGCAUCAUGCAUUAUUGUUUUUUCUUCUUCUUCCAUUUAAGUUUAGUUAAAAGCAGUCAGACCCUUACACAAGACAUGGAUUCAUCAUGAUUUGUAUUUAAGCCUGUUUGAUGCCAGUUUGAAUAAAAUCAAAUUUCACAACUAUGAGUAUCUGUGAAUGAAUUCAAUAUUUUUUUAUAUUUAGAAAUACACAUGA